UACAGAGGGGGCGAGCGUUAUUCGGAAUUACUGGGCGUAAAGCGUGCGCAGGCGGUGAUGUAAGACAGAUGUGAAAUCCCCGGGCUCAACCUGGGAACUGCAUUUGUGACUGCAUCGCUGGAGUGCGGCAGAGGGGGAUGGAAUUCCGCGUGUAGCAGUGAAAUGCGUAGAUAUGCGGAGGAACACCGAUGGCGAAGGCAAUCCCCUGGGCCUGCACUGACGCUCAUGCACGAAAGCGUGGGGAGCAAACAGG
RNAcentral lists this ribosomal RNA (253 nucleotides) under uncultured bacterium. Its description in RNAcentral is "partial 16S ribosomal RNA". It matches the Rfam family "Bacterial small subunit ribosomal RNA", at positions 524 to 776 of the family's 1533-position model. The record is from RNAcentral.